UUUUAUAACUAAUUUUGUGCCAGCAGUUGCGGUUAAACAAAAGUUAAAUUAAAUUUUAUUAGUGAUUAAUUAGUAAAAUAUAAAAUAAAUUUUUAAAUAUUAAAUUUUUAAGUGAAAUUUUAAUUUAAUUUAAUUUUAUAAAAAUUUUAUGAUUUAAUAAAGUUAUAAAUAAAAACUAGGAUUAGAUACCCUAUUAUUAAAAUUUAAAUAUAUAAUACUAAAAUAGUAGGUAAUUAUUUAUUGAAACUUAAAUAAAUUGGCGGUAUUUUAGUUCAUUUAGAGGAAUCUGUUUAAUAAUUGAUAAUCCACGAAUAAAUUUACUUAAUUUUUUUAUUUUGUAUAUCGUUGUUAAAAAAAUAUUUUUAUAUAGGAAUAAUAUUUAAAUUUUUAUAUAAAAAAUUAAAUCAGAUCAAGAUGCAGAUUAUAAUUAAGAAUAUAAUGGAUUACAAUAAAUUUAUUUAAAUGAAUAUUAAUAUGAAAAAUUAAUUGAAAGUGGAUUUAAAUGUAAUUUAUAUAUAGUUUUUUAAAAUGAUUAAAAAUUAAAAUAUGUACAUAUUGCCCGUCA
This 565-nucleotide ribosomal RNA is filed under the name Leucoma wiltshirei. Its description in RNAcentral is "partial small subunit ribosomal RNA". The record is from RNAcentral. Lineage: Eukaryota; Metazoa; Arthropoda; Insecta; Lepidoptera; Erebidae.